AUCCAGCUGAAGAGUCCAAAAUAGGACGAAACGCGUAUACUGGAU
RNAcentral lists this non-coding RNA (45 nucleotides) under Schistosoma mansoni. Lineage: Eukaryota; Metazoa; Platyhelminthes; Trematoda; Strigeidida; Schistosomatidae. The record is from RNAcentral.